AGGUAUGGCAUGUGGAUCUGAAGUGUGAAGGACCAACAUAUCCUGGACAGRUCUGUUUACUGUAUCUGUCCUCCCAUCUAGAGUCUGGGUAUAUCUGGACAUACACACACACACACAGAGCAAAAGGACCAAGAGCCCGGAUCCAGCACCAGUGUAAAACCAUGCCUCGUCUUUGUGUCUCAAUGCUGCUCUGGGUCGUCCUGCUGGGUCUCCUCUCUCUAAUAGGGGCUGAGGAAACAGCAGGAGAAGAAGGCAAAGGUGAGUGUGGGAGACUGGGUAACCGGGGGCUACCAAGAUGGGGUUGGAUUCA
This is a long non-coding RNA of Salvelinus sp. IW2-2015, 310 nucleotides long. RefSeq lists it as uncharacterized. The record is from RefSeq and is a predicted model, not a curated record. NCBI's taxonomy places the organism in Eukaryota, Metazoa, Chordata, Actinopteri, Salmoniformes, Salmonidae.